AGUGAACGCUGGCGGCAGGCCUAACACAUGCAAGUCGAGCGGCAGCACGGCAAUAGCAAUAUUGUGGGUGGCGAGCGGCGGACGGGUGAGGAAUGCAUCGGGAUCUACCCUGUCGUGGGGGACAACGUAGGGAAACUUACGCUAAUACCGCAUGAUCUGGAGACAGCAAAGCCGGGGACCUUCGGGCCUGGCGCGAUGGGAUGAGCCGAUGUCCGAUUAGCUAGUUGGCGGGGUAAAGGCCCACCAAGGCGACGAUCGGUAGCUGGUCUGAGAGGACGACCAGCCACACUGGAACUGAGACACGGUCCAGACUCCUACGGGAGGCAGCAGUGGGGAAUAUUGGACAAUGGGCGCAAGCCUGAUCCAGCAAUGCCGCGUGCAGGAAGAAGGCC
This 392-nucleotide ribosomal RNA is filed under the name uncultured bacterium. RNAcentral's name for it is "bacterial SSU rRNA". It matches the Rfam family "Bacterial small subunit ribosomal RNA", at positions 30 to 416 of the family's 1533-position model. The record is from RNAcentral.